This 839-nucleotide long non-coding RNA is filed under the name Ananas comosus (pineapple). RNAcentral's name for it is "long non-coding RNA (ACOM_LNC023705)". Lineage: Eukaryota; Viridiplantae; Streptophyta; Magnoliopsida; Poales; Bromeliaceae. The record is from RNAcentral.
GUUUCUAAAUACUUUCAAUAGUGUAGAUCAAGUCUAAUGGAGCCGAUCGUCAAUUUGGAAGCCGCAUCAUCGAAAACAACUUGGUAGCACGGAGCGCUCCGUGCUACCGAUAGUAUAGUAGCCUAGUUCCCAAAUAUAUAUAUAUAGAGUGAGGUACUAUGCUAUCGGAAGCACGGAGCCUUCCGUGCUUCCAGCUCGUUUUCGAUUUUGCGACUUUCAAAUCCGAGUCGAUCGGCUCCGUUAAACUUGAUCUAGAGUAUUUGGAGUACCUAGAAAAUAAAUUUUAUUAUUUUUCGAUAUCAUUUGCCUAGUGAUCGAAUGGGCUCAAAAUCAACAAAUUUCAAUGGCCAUAGUGAGCCGUUUGCAAGUUUAACGGUGUAGAAAUAUCCAAAUCACGUGAAAUUUUGAUAGAAAAUUCUUUAUACUAUAUAAAAUAAGAUCAAUAUCUUUGAUUUAAAAUUUUAAUAUCAUAUUAUUACAUUUUGUAAGAUUUUUAUUUUCAGCCGUUGAUUUUGAGCCUCUUCGUUCACUAGGCAAAUGAUAUCGCAAAAUUAUAAAAUUUAUUUUCUAGCUACUUCAAAUACUCUAGAUCAAGUUUAACGGAGCCGAUCGACGAUUCGAAAGUCGCAACAUCGAAAACAAGUUGGAAGCACAGAAGGCUCCGUGCUUCCAAUAGCAUAGUAACCUCACUCUCUCUCUCUAUAUAUAUAUAUAUAUAUAUGAGUUCGACUGCUAUACUAUUGGUAGCAUGGAGGUCUCUGGACUACCAAAUUGUUUUCAAUGAUGCGGCUUCCAAAUAUUUGUUUAGUUUAAUUUGGAAUUGCAGGAAAAAUACGUUA